Molecule: long non-coding RNA, 442 nt
Organism: Meriones unguiculatus (Mongolian gerbil)
Lineage: Eukaryota; Metazoa; Chordata; Mammalia; Rodentia; Muridae
Exons: 3
Source: RefSeq, a predicted model, not a curated record
ACUGGAUCUGUAAUCAACGAAGAGAUGAGCUGUUGGAGGAUUUUAUUAAGCAGGUUAUUUGAAGGGGGAUGGUCCACCGUGAGCGUGGGUGAUACUGUUCUGUGGCAGUCCAAAUAAAAGGGGGCCACAAUGGGAAUCCCUCAGCCCGUGCGAUGGUGUCACUCAAAUGCAGGGUCAUUCUUUCUCCUUAGUGAAUUCCCUCUGAAAAGGCCUCUGAGACACAUCUAGAGUUUUGCCUUGCCAUCUACGAGGGGAUUCCAGGAAUUUUGAACUUCUGUUCCUGUGUAAAAAUACAGGAGCUCUCAUGGCCACUGUCGGUUUUGCUGUAGACAUUCGCAAGGAAGCAAUUCUCUGGACAUUACUACUUUACCCAUGUUUGGGGUUACUCAUAACUAACCUCUGUAUUCUUUCGGUCCACUGUUCAUCCAUCCAUCCAUCCAUC